AUGCACAGGGUUACAUUCAAUGCACAUGCUGACUUGAAGAAUGUUGUAUCCUCCGAGAAUGCUUCAAAAUCCAUGUUAACAGAAUAUUUCAAGGCAAACGAAAAACACCCUUGGGCAAGGCAUAUAUUGUACAAGGAUUUCCCCGGAAGCUUCACGUGGGAGAAGAAAAGGAAGUUCUGGAAGAUGCGGCGGGUGGAGCAUUUUCAAAUAGGUCGUAUCGUGUCUGCCAAUCCUCCUGAGGGGGAGCGAUACUACCUUCGUGUGUUGUUGAACCAUGUUACGGGGAAAACAUCAUUUGAAGACUUGCUCACCGUCAACGGCGUGGUAUGUGGGAGCUUUAGAGAGGCCGGUGAAAGGUUGGGACUCAUCGAGGCAGACAACACGCUCGACGACUGUCUUACUAAGGCGGAGCAGUGGGCUAUGCCAUGUUCUCUUAGGAGGCUCUUUGCAACAAUAUUGGUGCACUGCGAGCCAGGCGACGUGGCUUUAUGGGAUAGACACCUCGAGCCUAUGUCCGAUGACUACCGUCGGACACGCACGUCCCCGAACGAGGUGGAGCAGAUGGUGUUUCUUGACAUUAGGGGUAUGUUGCAGUCUAUGGGUAAAGACAUUAUUGAUUUCGCUCUUCCAACGACCGAUGAUGCGUUUGACCCAACCGAGGGCGAGGCCAGAGAGAUCAUCGAGGAAUCAACUAUUGAGUUUGACGAAAGUGACACUAAAUUGUCAUCUUCACUGAAUUUUGAGCAAAGGGCUGCAUACGACGAAAUACUAGCGUCUGUUGAACGUGGUGAUGGGGGUAUAUUCUUUGUUGAUGGUCUUGGAGGUACGGGGAAGACCUUCCUCUACAGGGCGAUGCUCGCCAAGGUGAAGCACGAGGGCAAGAUUGCUACCGCUACCGCGACGUCGGGUGUCGCUGCUUCUAUCAUGCCUGGCGGCAGGACUGCCCACUCAAGGUUCAAAAUCCCAUUGAGUUGCGAUGAUGGAGCAUCGUGCAACUUCACCAAGCAGAGUGGGGCCGCCAAGCUGCUAAGGGUGGCCUCAUUGAUACUAUGGGACGAGGCCAGCAUGACUAAGCAACAAGCGGUUGAGGCAUUAGACAAUAGCAUGCGCGACAUCAUGGGAAUACGCGGCCGACCCUUUGGAGGAAAGACUGUUGUUUUUGGCGGGGACUUUAGGCAGGUGCUUCCGGUCGUCAGAAGGGGGUCACGGGGCUAGAUAAUUGAUGCAAGCCUCCGAAAUUACUUGCUCAGGGUCGGUAAUGGCACUGAGGAAGCCGACGACCAAGGCAACAUAAUACUCCCUGAUGAUAUUUGUCUGCCAUCAACAGGUGAGGUUGACGACCUGGAGAAGCUGAUUGACCACGUGUUUCCAAGUCUAGAUGACAACAUGGCAGAUUCGAGUUACAUGACAUCUCGCGCAAUCCUUUCCACGGCAAAUGACAACGUCGACAAGAUAAACAUCCGCUUGAUAGAACGUUUCCAAGGAGAUGAAGUAAUCUACCAUAGCUUUGAUAGUGCGGAGGACGACCCAUAUGGCUACUACGCUCCUGAGUUUCUAAAUGGAUUGACUCCCAAUGGUCUUCCUCCACAUGCACUCAAACUAAAGCUGUACUGCCCUGUGAUACCUCUAAGGAACAUUGAUCCAGCUAAUGGUCUGUGUAACGAGACUAGGCUUGUUGUUAGAGGUUUUGAGAGGAACACCAUUGAUGCAGAAAUCAUGAUUGGACAACACGCUGGUAGGAGGGUCUUCCUUCCUCGAAUACCUCUAUGCCCAUCUGACAAUGACAUGUUUCCUUUCAAGUUUAAGAGGAAGCAAUUUCCUAUAAGUCUUAGCUUUGCUAUGACGAUUAACAAGGCUCAAGGGCAGACCAUCCCCAUUGUUGGUGUGUAUCUACCUAAUCCAGUGUUCUCUCAUGGUCAACUCUAUGUUGCUUUGUCUCGAGCCACCGUGAAGAGAAACAUUAAAAUACUUAUUCAGAAGGAGAAGCCAAAGGAUAAGGCCAACAAGCAACAUAACAACCCGAAGAAGCGUAAAAGACCGACCGUUUCCUUGCUGACUUCAAUGAAGAACAUCGUCUACAAGGAAGUACUUAUAGGAUGA
This 2100-nucleotide ribosomal RNA is filed under the name Triticum aestivum (bread wheat). RNAcentral's name for it is "partial small subunit ribosomal RNA". The record is from RNAcentral. Lineage: Eukaryota; Viridiplantae; Streptophyta; Magnoliopsida; Poales; Poaceae.